Molecule: long non-coding RNA, 1089 nt
Filed under: Durio zibethinus
Lineage: Eukaryota; Viridiplantae; Streptophyta; Magnoliopsida; Malvales; Malvaceae
Description: long non-coding RNA (DZIB_LNC000571)
Source: RNAcentral
UCAUCUUUAUCUCUAUAUAACUGUUGUUCAAAACAAAAAAAAAAAUCAAAGAAAAACACGAGAACAAAGAAAAAGAGCGAUCAACAAAAUUGUUCUCAACCAUAUCCAGUAGCCGUUUCACCACAUACAUAACUACCUACCACUCUUUACAACCUUCAUCAUCUAUACCCUGAUGUUACCAAUUAGAGGCACAUUACCACAACACAACCCAUACCUAAGGCCACACAUACCAACACAACCACAGAAAAAAUAUACAAAAAACACAAACAGAAAUCAAUCUUCAACGACACAACCAAAAGCCUCCGUACUACUACCACAAACCCAGAAGCAAAUACAAGUAAUCCAAAGCCAUAGUCUUGCAAACAAUUUCAUAAUCACCUAGCAAGCCAGCAAUACAUGGACAUUGAGCCCAGAAAACUCAAAACCAAUACCAUUAACCAAAAUCCUCAAUCAGGUCCCAAAACAAAGAAACAUCCAACAACCCAUUCAUUGUCAUAAUCGAGACCGAUCAAGCUGCUCCCAGACCGAUCCUUUUCACCAUAAAUUUCCCUCCAAAGUCCACUGUCAAUAAGCCAUAAAGAGGAGGCAAAAGUCAGAAAUGAGAAAAACACCAAAAAAGAAAAAGAGUUUUUUUAGGUUUUGAUUUAACCCACUUCCAAGAGGCUUCAAUUCACCAUAUAAAUUGGGGAAAUAGCCCAUAGCAAGGAAAAUGACAUACCUUUGGCAACGGUGACAUUAGUGACAGUCUAUGGUGGAGACUGUUGUUUAGAAAUCAAAAGGGUAGAGGGAGAAAAUGAAGGAUAGAGAAUAACAUAUCCAAAAAUCAGCCUAAUCAAACGUAGGAAAGACACUGAAACAGUAAAGAAAAACGUGGCUUGUAGCUUUAGAUCUAGGGCAUUUGAGUAGGAUUCUAAAAAAUAGAAGCCCAGAUCCUAGAUGAGGAAGCCAAAAGGAAGUGAAGAUGAAAUUUGGGCUUCAACAGUGGUCGCCCGAUGGCAGAGCAUGGCAACCAACGUUGGUGCAGAAACCAGUAACAAUGACCAGGAAUCCUAGAGAGAAAAGUUCUCUAGAGAAACUUUAAAGAGAGAA